GGGGAAUCUUGCGCAAUGGGCGAAAGCCUGACGCAGCGACGCCGCGUGAGUGAUGAAGGCCCUCGGGUUGUAAAGCUCUGUGGAGAGAGACGAAUAAGGGUUGGCUAAUAUCCAACUCGAUGACGGUAUCUUUUUAGCAAGCACCGGCUAACUCUGUGCCAGCAGCCGCGGUAAGACAGAGGGUGCAAACGUUGUUCGGAAUUACUGGGCGUAAAGCGCGUGUAGGCUGCGAUGCAAGUCGGAUGUGAAAGCCCUGGGCUCAACCUAGGAAGUGCAUUCGAAACUGCGUUGCUUGAGUUCUGGAGAGGAAGGCGGAAUUCUCGGUGUAGAGGUGAAAUUCGUAGAUAUCGAGAGGAACACCGGUGGCGAAGGCGGCCUUCUGGACAGCAACUGACGCUGAGACGCGAAAGCGUGGGGAGCAAAC
This 424-nucleotide ribosomal RNA is filed under the name uncultured bacterium. RNAcentral describes it as "bacterial SSU rRNA". It matches the Rfam family "Bacterial small subunit ribosomal RNA", at positions 356 to 773 of the family's 1533-position model. The record is from RNAcentral.